AGGACGAACGCUGGCGGUGUGCUUCACACAUGCAAGUCGAACGGGGUAGCAAUACCCAGUGGCGGACGGGUGAGUAACACGUGGGAAUCUGCCUUUAGAUGGGGGAUAACUGACCGAAAGGUUAGCUAAUACCGCAUAUGCCGCAAGGUAAAAGGAGCAAUCCGUCUGAAGAUGAGCCCGCGUCCGAUUAGCUAGUUGGUAGGGUAAAAGCCUACCAAGGCUACGAUCGGUAGCUGGUCUGAGAGGAUGAUCAGCCACAAUGGGACUGAGACACGGCCCAUACUCCUACGGGAGGCAGCAGUGGGGAAUUUGUGCAAUGGGGGAAACCCUGACACAGCGACACCGCGUGAGCGAAGAAGCCCCUUGGGGUGUAAAGCUCUGUCGACAGGGACGAAAAAAAUGACGGUACCUGUAGAGGAAGCAUCGGCUAACUACGCGCCAGCAGCCGC
RNAcentral lists this ribosomal RNA (449 nucleotides) under uncultured bacterium. RNAcentral's name for it is "SSU rRNA". It matches the Rfam family "Bacterial small subunit ribosomal RNA", at positions 26 to 518 of the family's 1533-position model. The record is from RNAcentral.